This is an RNA transcript of Alligator sinensis (Chinese alligator), 1451 nucleotides long. It is a transcript of the gene named chromatin target of PRMT1, with no coding region annotated. NCBI's taxonomy places the organism in Eukaryota, Metazoa, Chordata, Crocodylia, Alligatoridae. The transcript is spliced from 7 exons. The record is from RefSeq and is a predicted model, not a curated record.
GGCGCCCCCUUCCCCGCCAUGGCGGGCUGGGCCCGAGCGCCUGGAGGGGGAGGGGUUGGCUCCGCGGGAAGCCGAGUCUGCAGAUUAUCACCGACCGCAGCCGGCUUCCCUGCCCGGGGCCGGACGGCGGCUUCCUGAGGCCUGCAGUCGUCUGAGCGAUUCUCUCACCCCGAAGAUGGCUGCGCAGUCGGCGCCGAAGGUUGUGCUAAAGAGCACCACCAAGAUGUCUCUGAACGAGCGCUUUACUAAUAUGCUGAAGAACAAACAGCCGAUGCCGGUGAAUAUUCGGGCAACCAUGCAGCAGCAGCAGCAGCUAGCCAGUGCCAGAAACAGAAGACUGGCCCAGCAGAUGGAGAAUAGACCUUCUGUCCAAGCUGCCUUGAAACUUAAACAGAAGAGCUUAAAGCAGCGUCUGGGUAAAAGUAAUAUUCAAGCACGAUUAGGCCGGCCAGCAGGACCCCUCGCUCGCGGUGCCAUGGGAGGAAGAGGGCUGUCUAUGGGUCAGAGAGGCUUGCCGCGGGGAGCUAUGCGUGGCGGACGUGGAGCAAGAGGAUUGCUGAGAGGAGGCAUCCCCCUCAGAGGUGGGAGUUUACUUCGGGGAGGACGUGGUGUUUCCCCUAGAAUGGGCCUGAGAAGAGGUGGCGUCAGAGGUCGUGGUGGACCUGGGAGAGGAGGCCUGGGCAGAGGAGCUAUGGGUCGUGGAGGAAUUGGUGGCAGAGGUCGUGGCCUGGCAGGCCGGGGACGAGGGGGCUUUGGUGGCCGGGGCAGAGGUCGAGGCCGAGGAAGAGGAUCCACGCGCCCUGCGCUAACCAAGGAACAACUGGACAACCAAUUAGAUGCUUACAUGUCUAAAACAAAAGGACACCUCGAUGCCGAGCUGGAUGCAUACAUGGCUCAGACAGAUCCAGAGACCAACGACUGAAGGGCCGUGUGAGAGACUCGUUGAAGUUGAUGUGUAUGUCAAUACCCAUAAGCUAAAAACGGAAACCCUGAUUCCUGCUGGAAGGAGCUGCAGGAGGGGGGGCAGCCCUGUCCUACCGAGAGAUCCAAUUUUAUUUGAAUUUCUUUUCUAUCAUGCCUGAAGGGACAGCACUACUGGUUUCUACAUACCGGAACCUAGAAGAAGACCUAGUUCGUGCAUUAAGGAUGUUGAAGCAGGUCCACGCGCGGCACCUAUGAAAGGAAAUCAUGGUAGAACCGUCUCGGAAACACUGGGUCCACAACUGGUUGGAGUGACAAGCGUAACCAAAACCAAGCUUUCGGUCCAGGUUGACUCCAGUGCCUCCUGGGCACUUUUGAGAAUGCGGCUGGUUUUAGAUGUUGAGAACGGGUUUGUUCUCCCCCCUCCUCCCCCCGAAGUUUUAAUUUACCACCAUUCUGUGAACUGUUCCGGUUUCAAUGGAAUCUUGUAUUUCUGGUUCGUUGUAACAAUGGAGAAACAAUGACAAAAA